Molecule: ribosomal RNA, 386 nt
Filed under: uncultured bacterium
Lineage: Bacteria
Description: partial 16S ribosomal RNA
Rfam family: Bacterial small subunit ribosomal RNA
Source: RNAcentral
AUACGUAGGGGGCGAGCGUUAUCCGGAUUUAUUGGGCGUAAAGCGUGUGUAGGCGGUUUGUUAAGUUUAAGAUUAAAGCCCGAGGCUUAACCUCGGUUCGUCUUAAAAACUGGCAGACUUGAGUGCAGUAGAGGCACGUGGAAUUUCUAGUGUAGCGGUUAAAUGCGUAGAUAUUAGAAGGAACACCAGUGGCGAAGGCGGCUUGCGGGGCUGUUACUGACGCUGAGACACGAAAGCGGGGGGAGCAAAUAGGAUUAGAUACCCUAGUAGUCCACGCCGUAAACGAUGAGUACUAAGUGUCGGGUAACCGGUGCUGAAGUUAACACAUUAAGUACUCCGCCUGAGUAGUACGGUCGCAAGGCUGAAACUCAAAUGAAUUGACGGGG